Molecule: ribosomal RNA, 1497 nt
Filed under: uncultured bacterium
Lineage: Bacteria
Description: bacterial SSU rRNA
Rfam family: Bacterial small subunit ribosomal RNA
Source: RNAcentral
AGAGUUUGAUUAUGGCUCAGAUUGAACGCUGGCGGCAGGCCUAACACAUGCAAGUCGAACGGUAACAGAAAGCAGCUUGCUGCUUUGCUGACGAGUGGCGGACGGGUGAGUAAUGUCUGGGAAACUGCCUGAUGGAGGGGGAUAACUACUGGAAACGGUAGCUAAUACCGCAUAACGUCGCAAGACCAAAGAGGGGGACCUUCGGGCCUCUUGCCAUCGGAUGUGCCCAGAUGGGAUUAGCUAGUAGGUGGGGUAACGGCUCACCUAGGCGACGAUCCCUAGCUGGUCUGAGAGGAUGACCAGCCACACUGGAACUGAGACACGGUCCAGACUCCUACGGGAGGCAGCAGUGGGGAAUAUUGCACAAUGGGCGCAAGCCUGAUGCAGCCAUGCCGCGUGUAUGAAGAAGGCCUUCGGGUUGUAAAGUACUUUCAGCGGGGAGGAAGGGAGUAAAGUUAAUACCUUUGCUCAUUGACGUUACCCGCAGAAGAAGCACCGGCUAACUCCGUGCCAGCAGCCGCGGUAAUACGGAGGGUGCAAGCGUUAAUCGGAAUUACUGGGCGUAAAGCGCACGCAGGCGGUUUGUUAAGUCAGAUGUGAAAUCCCCGGGCUCAACCUGGGAACUGCAUCUGAUACUGGCAAGCUUGAGUCUCGUAGAGGGGGGUAGAAUUCCAGGUGUAGCGGUGAAAUGCGUAGAGAUCUGGAGGAAUACCGGUGGCGAAGGCGGCCCCCUGGACGAAGACUGACGCUCAGGUGCGAAAGCGUGGGGAGCAAACAGGAUUAGAUACCCUGGUAGUCCACGCCGUAAACGAUGUCGACUUGGAGGUUGUGCCCUUGAGGCGUGCUCCGGAGCUAACGCGUUAAGUCGACCGCCUGGGGAGUACGGCCGCAAGGUUAAAACUCAAAUGAAUUGACGGGGGCCCGCACAAGCGGUGGAGCAUGUGGUUUAAUUCGAUGCAACGCGAAGAACCUUACCUGGUCUUGACAUCCAUGGAAGUUUUCAGAGAUGAGAAUGUGCCUUCGGGAACCGUGAGACAGGUGCUGCAUGGCUGUCGUCAGCUCGUGUUGUGAAAUGUUGGGUUAAGUUCCGCAACGAGCGCAUCCCUUAUCCUUAGUUGCCAGCGGUCCGGCCGGGAACUCAAAGGAGACUGCCAGUGAUAAACUGGAGGAAGGUGGGGAUGACGUCAAGUCAUCAUGGCCUUUACGACCAGGGCCACACACGUGCUACAAUGGCGCAUACAAAGAGAAGCGACCUCGCGAGAGCAAGCGGACCUCAUAAAGUGCGUCGUAGUCCGGAUUGGAGUCUGCAACUCGACUCCAUGAAGUCGGAAUCGCUAGUAAUCGUGGAUCAGAAUGCCACGGUGAAUACGUUCCCGGGCCUUGUACACACCGCCCGUCACACCAUGGGAGUGGGUUGCAAAAGAAGUAGGUAGCUUAACCUUCGGGAGGGCGCUUACCACUUUGUGAUUCAUGACUGGGGUGAAGUCGUAACAAGGU